UACGUAGGGGGCUAGCGUUGUCCGGCAUCAUUGGGCGUAAAGAGCGUGUAGGCGGUCCGGUAAGUCCGCUGUGAAAGUCGGGGGCUCAACCCUCGAAUGCCGGUGGAUACUGUCGGGCUAGAGUGCGGAAGAGGCGAGUGGAAUUCCUGGUGUAGCGGUGAAAUGCGCAGAUAUCAGGAGGAACACCGAUUGCGAAGGCAGCUCGCUGGGACGUUACUGACGCUGAGACGCGAAAGCGUGGGGAGCAAACAGG
Molecule: ribosomal RNA, 253 nt
Filed under: uncultured bacterium
Lineage: Bacteria
Description: partial 16S ribosomal RNA
Rfam family: Bacterial small subunit ribosomal RNA
Source: RNAcentral